GAUGAAGAACGCAGCGAAAUGCGAUAAGUAGUGUGAAUUGCAGAAUUCAGUGAAUCAUCGAAUCUUUGAACGCACAUUGCGCCCUUUGGUAUUCCUUAGGGCAUGCCUGUUCGAGCGUCAUUAUAACCCCUCAAGCUCAGCUUGGUGUUGGGGCCUGCUGCACUGGCAGCCCUUAAAAUCAGUGGCGGCGCCAUCUGGCUCUAAGCGUAGUAAUUCUUCUCGCUAUGGAGUCCUGGUGGAUGCUUGCCAUCAACCCCCAAUUUUUCUAUGGUUGACCUCGGAUCAGGUAGGGAUACCCGCUGAACUUAAGCAUAUCAAUAAGCGGAGGA
Molecule: unclassified non-coding RNA, 329 nt
Filed under: soil metagenome
Description: partial contains 5.8S ribosomal RNA, internal transcribed spacer 2, and large subunit ribosomal RNA
Rfam family: 5.8S ribosomal RNA (bases 1-120)
Source: RNAcentral